AGUAUUAUACUGUGAUGAUAUUAUUCUAAUAUUGGAGAUCUAUAUUAUUAAUAUUAGGUCUCAGACGAAGCUUAUUAUAUUGCGUUACGGUAAUCAACGGUUCAGGCAAGUUUCCUUUUACUUAACUCUACUAAGAGUUGUUCAUUCGGAUAUACUUAUGGUUAAUCAUCUCUGAUUGCCAUGUUGAAUUGUACUCUGUACAUCUUGCAUGUAUAAGUCAGGUAUGAAAGGCUGAUCACCUUCAUUACCAGUUGGUCCAGAUAUAUUAUUGUUCCUGUUCAAUACUUGUUCAGUCAAAAUUUUGUUCAUGCUAAUUCACAAAUACAUUGUGAAGGAUAGCCAGCUUAUUAUUCAUACUCUUUCAAUCAUGAUAUAUCUUUACAUUGUAUUUAAACUUGCUG
This 401-nucleotide long non-coding RNA is filed under the name Panax ginseng (ginseng). RNAcentral describes it as "long non-coding RNA (PGIN_LNC011499)". The record is from RNAcentral. Lineage: Eukaryota; Viridiplantae; Streptophyta; Magnoliopsida; Apiales; Araliaceae.